This 319-nucleotide long non-coding RNA is filed under the name Homo sapiens (human). RNAcentral describes it as "HSALNT0372660". Lineage: Eukaryota; Metazoa; Chordata; Mammalia; Primates; Hominidae. The record is from RNAcentral.
AUUUCAACUCUCUGCAGCCCAGCACUCAGGGUCAAGUGAUUCAUCCAGGUGGCGCUAGGAGGGAUCUUCGCCGCAGAGGGCAUUCGAGAGAUGACAACUCUAGACAUCCAUGCAACUUCUGUUCUUGUGCUCCUGCUGUUUUCAAAUUCCACAGUCACAGACUGCACCCUGGAAAACUCAGGACACCCUAGAGUGAACUGCUCUGAAGAACAAAGUUGCUACUUGCUUGCUACCUCUGGUUGCUACCCCUGGUUGUGUUUGGUUGCCACAUAAUGAAAUGAUUUUCCUUCCCUCUUUUAUUUCCUUUCUUUCUUUUUUU